RNAcentral lists this ribosomal RNA (465 nucleotides) under uncultured bacterium. RNAcentral's name for it is "partial 16S ribosomal RNA". It matches the Rfam family "Bacterial small subunit ribosomal RNA", at positions 28 to 507 of the family's 1533-position model. The record is from RNAcentral.
GACGAACGCUGGCGGCGUGCUUAACACAUGCAAGUCGAACGGAAGGGCCCUGCUUGCCGGGUACUCGAGUGGCGAACGGGUGAGUAACACGUGGGUGAUCUGCCCUGCACUUCGGGAUAAGCUUGGGAAACUGGGUCUAAUACCGGAUAGGACCGCACUUUAGUGUGUGUGGUGGAAAGUUUUUUCGGUGUAGGAUGAGCUCGCGGCCUAUCAGCUUGUUGGUGGGGUAAUGGCCUACCAAGGCGGCGACGGGUAGCCGGCCUGAGAGGGUGUACGGCCACAUUGGGACUGAGAUACGGCCCAGACUCCUACGGGAGGCAGCAGUGGGGAAUAUUGCACAAUGGGCGCAAGCCUGAUGCAGCGACGCCGCGUGGGGGAUGAAGGCCUUCGGGUUGUAAACUCCUUUCGCUAGGGACGAAGCUUUUUGUGACGGUACCUAGAUAAGAAGCACCGGCUAACUACGUG